CGCAUCUGUGCAUGCAGCAUAUCAAUAAGCGGAGGAAAAGAAACUAACAAGGAUUCCCCUAGUAACGGCGAGUGAAGCGGGAAGAGCUCAAAUUUGAAAUCUUAAAGGGUUUCCCUUUACGAAUUGUAGUUUAAAGAAGUGUUUUCUGUUGAGGUUUUGGUAAAAGUUCUUUGGAAUAGGACAUCAUAGAGGGUGAGAAUCCCGUAUUUGACCUUUACUUUCAACUUUGUGAUACACUUUCAAAGAGUCGGAUUGUUUGGGAAUGCAGUCCAAAAUGGGUGGUAAAUUUCAUCUAAAGCUAAAUAUUGGCGAGAGACCGAUAGCGAACAAGUACCGUGAGGGAAAGAUGAAAAGAACUUUGAAAAGAGAGUUAAACAGUACGUGAAAUUGUCAAAAGGGAAGCGUUUGACACCAGUGUUGUCUUUCUGAAAAUCAAUUAAAGAACUGCUUAUGCUAAGCUGUUUAGACUUUAUCAGCUAUCUGUUUAGUUUUGAGCUUUUCUUUAAUGCACUUUUCAGUUAACAAGUCAACAUCAAUUUCUUUUGCUGUAAAAAAGCUUGAGGGAGGUGGCUUGAGAUUCGUCUUAAGUGUUUAUAGCCUCUUGCCUAUGCAGUCGGAGAGAUUGAGGUCUGCAGCGUAGAUCCUUCGGGGCUAAAUGCAUUUGUGCUAAGUUAUAGCAUUUUAUAGACAACUUGUUGACUAUGAUUUGUCUUGUAGCUUACUCGCUUAUGUUAUUUUACCUACGCUUAGGAUGUUGAGUCGUAGAGCACGCAG
Molecule: ribosomal RNA, 774 nt
Filed under: uncultured Neocallimastigales
Lineage: Eukaryota; Fungi; Neocallimastigomycota; Neocallimastigomycetes; Neocallimastigales
Description: partial large subunit ribosomal RNA
Rfam family: Eukaryotic large subunit ribosomal RNA
Source: RNAcentral